Transfer RNA from Loxodonta africana (African savanna elephant), 71 nucleotides. It matches the Rfam family "tRNA". From Rfam's summary of the family: Transfer RNA (tRNA) molecules are approximately 80 nucleotides in length. Their secondary structure includes four short double-helical elements and three loops (D, anti-codon, and T loops). Lineage: Eukaryota; Metazoa; Chordata; Mammalia; Proboscidea; Elephantidae. The record is from Rfam.
GCAGUGGUGGUUCAGUGGUAGAAUUCUCUCCUUCCAUGCGGGAGACCCAGGUUCUAUUCCCAGCCAAUGCA